Molecule: ribosomal RNA, 1440 nt
Filed under: Enterococcus hirae
Lineage: Bacteria; Bacillati; Bacillota; Bacilli; Lactobacillales; Enterococcaceae
Description: bacterial SSU rRNA
Rfam family: Bacterial small subunit ribosomal RNA
Source: RNAcentral
CUAUACAUGCAAGUCGAACGCUUCUUUUUCCACCGGAGCUUGCUCCACCGGAAAAAGAGGAGUGGCGAACGGGUGAGUAACACGUGGGUAACCUGCCCAUCAGAAGGGGAUAACACUUGGAAACAGGUGCUAAUACCGUAUAACAAUCGAAACCGCAUGGUUUUGAUUUGAAAGGCGCUUUCGGGUGUCGCUGAUGGAUGGACCCGCGGUGCAUUAGCUAGUUGGUGAGGUAACGGCUCACCAAGGCGACGAUGCAUAGCCGACCUGAGAGGGUGAUCGGCCACAUUGGGACUGAGACACGGCCCAAACUCCUACGGGAGGCAGCAGUAGGGAAUCUUCGGCAAUGGACGAAAGUCUGACCGAGCAACGCCGCGUGAGUGAAGAAGGUUUUCGGAUCGUAAAACUCUGUUGUUAGAGAAGAACAAGGAUGAGAGUAACUGUUCAUCCCUUGACGGUAUCUAACCAGAAAGCCACGGCUAACUACGUGCCAGCAGCCGCGGUAAUACGUAGGUGGCAAGCGUUGUCCGGAUUUAUUGGGCGUAAAGCGAGCGCAGGCGGUUUCUUAAGUCUGAUGUGAAAGCCCCCGGGCUCAACCGGGGAGGGUCAUUGGAAACUGGGAGACUUGAGUGCAGAAGAGGAGAGUGGAAUUUCCAUGUGUAGCGGUGAAAUGCGUAGAUAUAUGGAGGAACACCAGUGGCGAAGGCGGCUCUCUGGUCUGUAACUGACGCUGAGGCUCGAAAGCGUGGGGAGCAAACAGGAUUAGAUACCCUGGUAGUCCACGCCGUAAACGAUGAGUGCUAAGUGUUGGAGGGUUUCCGCCCUUCAGUGCUGCAGCUAACGCAUUAAGCACUCCGCCUGGGGAGUACGACCGCAAGGUUGAAACUCAAAGGAAUUGACGGGGGCCCGCACAAGCGGUGGAGCAUGUGGUUUAAUUCGAAGCAACGCGAAGAACCUUACCAGGUCUUGACAUCCUUUGACCACUCUAGAGAUAGAGCUUCCCCUUCGGGGGCAAAGUGACAGGUGGUGCAUGGUUGUCGUCAGCUCGUGUCGUGAGAUGUUGGGUUAAGUCCCGCAACGAGCGCAACCCUUAUUGUUAGUUGCCAUCAUUUAGUUGGGCACUCUAGCAAGACUGCCGGUGACAAACCGGAGGAAGGUGGGGAUGACGUCAAAUCAUCAUGCCCCUUAUGACCUGGGCUACACACGUGCUACAAUGGGAAGUACAACGAGUCGCAAAGUCGCGAGGCUAAGCUAAUCUCUUAAAGCUUCUCUCAGUUCGGAUUGUAGGCUGCAACUCGCCUACAUGAAGCCGGAAUCGCUAGUAAUCGCGGAUCAGCACGCCGCGGUGAAUACGUUCCCGGGCCUUGUACACACCGCCCGUCACACCACGAGAGUUUGUAACACCCGAAGUCGGUGAGGUAACCUUUUGGAGCCAGCCGCCUA